GUGCCAGCAGCCGCGGUAAUACGGAGGGUGCAAGCGUUGUCCGGAUUUAUUGGGUUUAAAGGGUGCGUAGGCGGAUCUUUAAGUCAGUGGUGAAAGCCUGCAGCUUAACUGUAGAAUUGCCAUUGAUACUGGAGGUCUUGAGUACACUAGAGGUAGGCGGAAUUUAUGGUGUAGCGGUGAAAUGCAUAGAUACCAUAAAGAACACCUAUAGCGUAGGCAGCUUACUGGAGUGUAACUGACGCUGAGGCACGAAAGCAUGGGUAGCGAACAGGAUUAGAUACCCGAGUAGUCC
Molecule: ribosomal RNA, 292 nt
Filed under: uncultured bacterium
Lineage: Bacteria
Description: partial 16S ribosomal RNA
Rfam family: Bacterial small subunit ribosomal RNA
Source: RNAcentral